Molecule: ribosomal RNA, 1130 nt
Filed under: Karenia sp. (in: dinoflagellates)
Lineage: Eukaryota; Dinophyceae; Gymnodiniales; Kareniaceae
Description: eukaryotic LSU rRNA
Rfam family: Eukaryotic large subunit ribosomal RNA
Source: RNAcentral
AGUAGCGGAGGAAAAGAAACUAAAUAGGAUUCCUUCAGUAAUGGCGAACGAACAGGGAACAGCUCAGCAUGGAAAUUGGGGCUUCUGGCCUUGAAUUGUAGUCUCGAGAUGUAUUGCCAACGGAGGCGCAGAUGUAAGUCUCUUGGAAAAGAGCACCGGUGAGGGUGAAAGUCCUGUUUUUCAUUUGCAGUCCCCCGUGCACGGCAUAUCUUCUAAGAGUCACGCUCCUCGGAAAUGGAGUGCAAAGUGGGUGGUAAAUUUCAUCUCAAGCUAAAUAUUGGUUUGAGACCGAUAGCAAACAAGUACCAUGAGGGAAAGGUGAAAAGGACUUUGGAAAGAGAGUUAAAAGUGCCUGAAAUUGCUGAAAGGGAAGCGAAUGGAACCAGUGUAUCUUGGCGAGAUUGCUGUUCACUGAUGUGAUGUUGGGGUGCGUCAAUGCAAAUGUUGCAUUUCAUUUUGAUCUGAAUGUGAUCGGUGCUUCUCGCCUUGUGUGUCAACGCCAGUUCAUGAUUGUGGAAGACGAUAGGGACAUGGUACUUCGCUCGCGGGCGAACGAAUGUGCUUGGAUGAACUCGUUUUUGAACUGAGAUUGUGUGUUUGGACACAGCACUUACAUCAUUUUCUUCUUUCCUUCGGGGACCUUGCGUCUUUGAUAGAAGGGGGUUGGGAUUGGGUGCGUUCCAGGCAUGGAGAUGAUGACUAAAUGGUUUUAUUUGACCCGUCUUGAAACACGGACCAAGGAGUCUAGCAUAUGUGCAAGUUCAUGGGUGGUGAAUCCUAUGUGCGCAAUGAAAGUGACUGCUGGGAUAUUUUGCACUGGCAACCGACCGAGCAAUUGUGUGAGGUUUGAGUAUGAGCAUAUCUGUUAGGACCCGAAAGAUGGUGAACUAUGCCUGAGAAGGGUAAAAUCAGGGGAAACUCUGAUGGAGGCUCGUUUCGGUACUGACGUGCAAAUCGUUCGUCAUACUUGGGUAUAGGGGCGAAAGACUAAUCGAACCAUCUAGUAGCUGGUUCCCUCCGAAGUUUCCCUCAGGAUAGCUGGAAUUGAACAGUUUUAUCAGGUAAAGCGAAUGAUUAGAGGACUUGGGGACGUGUUGUCCUCGACCUAUUCUCAAACUUUAAAUGGGUAA